GCUAUUCUGCGAACGUUCUAGAAGCCCGCGCGGCGUUCGAUAUAUCGCGAGAGAACCUCUCCAGCGAGCAAUCGUUUCCUGCUCGUUCGUACCUCGUAUGGUACGUACGACACGAGGGAUGUCGCACGGCGCCGCUUCGCGCUCUUAGGAACCGAACACUGGGCAGGAUCCGGAUUCGAGAAUCUUAACCAAACGGAACGUGCGUGAGACUUUUAGAGGUUCUUUAACUCUCGCCGUACCGUCGUUGCCGGUCGCAACUGUCGGGCUUCAGCAACAUGGCGAUGAACGUGCCGUAUGAGGCGAUCGGCAAGGGCUUCGUUCAGCAGUAUUACGCGAUGUUCGACGACCCGGCGCAGAGGCCGAACCUCAUAAACAUGUAUAACGCGGAGACCUCCUUCAUGACGUUCGAAGGCUUGCAGAUACAGGGCGCUAUCAAAAUCAUGGAAAAGUUAACUAGCUUAUCCUUUCAAAAAAUAAAUCGGAUAAUAACAGCGAUUGAUUCGCAACCCAUGUUUGAUGGAGGAGUUCUCAUUAAUGUAUUAGGAAGGUUGCAGGCAGACGAGGAUCCACCACACGCCUUCUCGCAAUGUUUUGUGCUGAAGCCAAUGGGUAAUUCAUAUUACUGCCAGCACGAUAUCUUUCGCCUUGGCAUUCAUGAUAGUGCAUGAACGAGAAAGAUCAAGCUGAGUUUUGCGACGAGCGUGUGAACAGACAGGUUGUUGAGCGACGGAUGUCCUGGAGAUCGCGAUUAAUAAUUUUCGUUCUAGGUUUUGCUACUGUAUGAGGAAUCGCGCUUUUGCAUACGUACAAUUGUGGGAGAAGAACGUCCUCCGGUGCCCUCGCGAAGCCUGGCAGGAAGAAGCCCUUGUACCUCGUUCUAUCGAUAAGUGUAUGGAGCGUGUCGCCAUACUGAAAAUCAGUUUAAUUAAUUAACAUCUACUAGAAGGCGAUGAUAUAGCAAAUCGUGUAAGAAGGCAAAGAAAAAAAGCAUCUCCCUUGUUUCUUUACCUUCACAAUGGUAUCUAUGUCUUCGACGUUGAACGCUACGUCUCGCACGCCGUCCCCGUGUCGGGAAAGAUGAUCAGACAUUUCUUCAUUAUCAGGCUCGUACGGAGAUUCAAACACGAACACUAUCUACGAUCACGAUCUUUGAUGAUUAGAAAGCUCUAUAUAUAUUCAAGAUUUCGAGAAAACGUUAAAUAAGUUGUUAAUUAAGCGUGCAUUCAAAGUUACUCACUUUGUUCUGUCUGACGACGUGCGUAGCUGUUCGUCUGAAGCCAUUUUCCAAACCGCGAUAUCCAACUGGCUGGAAUCCCAUCCUGCAUCGGUAGAAACUGGCGGCCUGCGAGCAACACAAUUGUGUUAUUUUCAUAUACAAUUUUUCAUUUUAUUUAUUUUUUUUUUUUUUCUUAUCUGCUUUCUUUGUACAUAGCGUUUCUUAGCAUGUAGAAAACAUUCGAAACAUGAAAUCAACAGUUUAUGUACAUAACUUGAUAAAACUUAUAGAGACGUAGAUAAGGAAUAGAAUUAUGUUGAAUACCAUAAAUUUAUAGAGAUAUAGAUAAAAAAUAGAAUUAUGUUGAAUACCAUUUAUGUGAUUCCUUUUUAUUUUUAAAUCUAUUUCUAUUUCCCGUGUAUUAAGAAACGUUUUGUACAUGAGAGUUUACCUGCUUCGCAUUUCCAACCCAGAAUUUUAUAUGAUCGAAACUGAGGAAUUUUCCUCCGACGGGCUGAAAAAUCCAGAUAUUGUAUCACAUUUUUAGUAAAAUAAUUGUUUCCAUAAUUAUUUUAUAUAAAUUCUACUAAAUAAUAGUAUUAAUUCCAAAUGGGAAAACAACUUGUCUUCUUCUCUCCCAAACAUUUUGGCAAAGGAUAAUGGAUUUACCUGGGGUCCUUUAUCGGUGUAAGUUGUCUGGAAACAAACGCAAAGAAUUUAUUACUUGACGUUAAAUGAGCUAAAUCAAUUAAAAAAAAAGAAUAGGUAUAACAGAUAUUGUUAGCACAGAUUUUCUACGACGCGUAUCACACAGAAGCAUUUUAUAUAGAGAAGUUCAUUCUAGCGAAUUAUAAAUUGUGAAGAAUUACAUAUUAGAUAAGUGAUCAUUCUAUACGAUUAAUAAUCAGAUUGAAUUGUAAAAAUAACUUUAUUACUAGGUGACAGUUUCUCAACUUACCAUGAUGACUUUCGAAAUUGAGGAAAACGGUAAAAAGUAUCUCCUGCAAUGGUAUCGAACGUUCGAUUAUCACUGUCCGCUCAUCGGGUUCCGCUUUAAAUAUCUUGGGACCCACCGACGAUCCAUGGGCUCGCCUUGUCACGCUAUUGGUCUACGACGGGGGCUUGUUUGUGCUACGCGUUCUCGGUGGUCAGCAGCCCAUAAAUCAAACCGGCAACGACGACUGGUUUUUUUAAUUAAAUGCAUCAUUAAAGCUGUGAUACACUCAGUGGCACGCAUUCGAGGUGUGCUCGCCUUCCUAAUUAGCACAAAAGACCACAUUUCUCCACAAGCACGUAUGCAUAUGAGCAAGGUCUCUGAAGAUCUCCAGGCUUGCGUCACAAAAGUUUCCAUUCUAUGGAAUUUGAAGAGAAACAGUUUUUGAUAAUACGAUUGUUAUAUGUUACACAAUAUAAUUAUUUGAUAAAAAUAUGUGCGUCAGUGUCUUACAAAAUAUUUGUUCUUUUCAAGUUACACUAAAUAAGCAUAGAGAGAAUUUAGAAAAAAAAUUAUAUAAAAAUUAUUCUAUGAUGUUAAAUAAGUAGAAUUAAUGAAAAAAUGUUUUCUGUGUUUAUUAUAUAACAACCAUGAUAUAAAAGGCGAUUUAUGCUAAUAUAUAAAAAUGUCCUCCAAUUGCUCAAUAUCUCAUUUGCUAUAAGGAAAUCGAGAAACUUUGUAUUUUAUUUGUCACCUUCGGUGUAUUAAAAUAAUUUUUCCGCAUAAACAUUUCGCUUACUGUAGCAAACAUAUUUACGCGCCUGGUGUUAGAAAAUGUAGUUUUUCUGUGUACACACCCUCUAAUGCAUUUAUGUAUGUAUACUACGUAAUAUUAGAUUGGAGCAUGCUUUUUUGCUGUUUAUGUUAAACGCUCCAGCGAUACAAAUAGCAAAUGUCGUACCCGCCUAUACGAGUAUUAAUUUUAAAUUUCAUUUAUUUAUCAAUAGCAUCAUAACGUUUAAUUAGUUAUCAAUUACAAAUAAUUAUUUAAAUUAAUCUCUUGGCUAUUUUUAUAAUCUCUCCAGCACCUCAAAUGCGGAAUUUCUCGCUAUUAUUUAAUAAUAAUUCAAUAUUAAAUAAUAUACAUCCUUAUUAAAAAUAUACAUAUUAAACGCAAAAAUAUGGCGAGAAUAUGCUAUAAACUUUUCCAUCUAAUCUUUUAAUUUUUGAUAAGAUACAAAAGAUACAGGGGAUGUCAAAAAAUAAGAUCAAAGAAAAUAUGUAAAGAACGAUAAACCGUUUUAUUAGACUUCAUCUCAAACAAAACACAAGAACUAUCAGAUACAGAGAAAAAGUCAUCUGGAGAAUGUAAUGAUAACAUGAUUCAACUCUGCUCGCCAAAAAAUCUCGUCGAUACAAUAUAUUAGCAUAACUUCUAAAUUAAUCGUAAUAAAUAUUUGAGAAUAUCACAAUCGUAUUGUUGACGAAAAAUUUGUUUCGCGGAAGAUUUCUGCGUGAGGUCAUCGACAUUUUUAUUUAAAUAUUGCAAGACAGGAAAUAAAUUUAACAUCGAGCGAUGAUGUAAAAAGUAGCGCGUAAAACGUUGCAUAAAAUAUCUUUACAUUAAAAUUGACAACGUCGAGCAGAAUGAUCCUUGUAAUAUUAUUAUCGUGUCUAUUAUUUCCCUACAAAAGCAAUUCGAGCGACUAGAAAUACUGGACGCAGCGCAUUCGCGAAAUACUGAUCUCCGUCCUUCUCGCGGAGAAUAUACAAUAUCUUUAACUAUUCUCUACAAAACAAUGUCUAAUUCGCGCUGACUCGAUUAAAAUGCAAAUAAGUUACUAAUGGCUCGUUAUGCAUAUGUACAAUAAAUCGACUAUAUAUACAGGAUGUCCGAGAAUCAAAGAUACAUUGUCGUAUCUCACAAAAUUUAAUGUCGACUAUUUUUUCAGAUAUAAAUAUUCUACAUUUUAGUAACUUUUAAAUAAUUAAGCAAUUAUUUUUACAGUAGUUUAUACUUUUUUCUAGUAAUUAUAUAGACAGCGAAUUGCAAUCAAUCAAAAAAUCUAGAUAAAGUAAAAUGCAAAGUUAAAUUACGAACAAUGUUACAUUUAUCUUCACUUAUGAAACCUGAUCUCCGGAAGAUUUCUCAUCUCUAAUGACUUUAUAAAUUGGACUCUAAUGAGAUAUGCCUCAUGAUAUAUUGGUAGAUCAAAACUCGGGGAGGAGAAAAACUGUCUCCAUGUUUCCAAAAUAAUAUUAUCUACUAUAUACUUUCCGUCGAUUCUAAGACAUCUUAUAUACAAUAACAUAUAUAUAUAUAUAAUAUAAAUAACAUUUGCUAUGAUAUCGAUUUGCACGAUUGAUGAAACGGUAAAGUACAAACUAAUUGGUCGACGAUCCGUUUCGUAAAAAAUUUCUCUCGACCGGUAUUACACACGAUAGAAAUACAUAGGUAUUGCAGCGGUAUAUAAAAGCUCUUCGAUCGUAGCCGAUUCUUCUAGAAUUACGCGUCGGAAAAUCACAGAUUACAAAAAUACACGUAGAAAAACGUUCCGUAAAUCUCCCAUUAAAAUUAUCUCAUCGAAAUUAACGUUCGAGUCUUUUCUCUUGUUCUUGUGGAUAUGAUUUCUCUUGCCAAAAGCAAAUAAGCGAAAUCGUAAACGUAUGCAUUAUUCUUCUCUUUUUUU
This is an RNA transcript of Solenopsis invicta (red fire ant), 4840 nucleotides long. It is a transcript of the gene named probable nuclear transport factor 2, with no coding region annotated. The transcript is spliced from 7 exons. Lineage: Eukaryota; Metazoa; Arthropoda; Insecta; Hymenoptera; Formicidae. The record is from RefSeq and is a predicted model, not a curated record.